CCUACGGGUGGCAGCAGUGGGGAAUAUUGGGCAAUGGGCGCAAGCCUGACCCAGCAAAGCCGCGUGAAGGAAGACGGCUUUCGGGUUGUAAACUUCUUUUCUCAGGGACGAAGAAAGUGACGGUACCUGCGGCAUAAGCCACGGCUAACUACGUGCCAGCAGCCGCGGUAAUACGUAGGUGGCAAGCGUUAUCCGGAUUUACUGGGUGUACAGGGCGUGUAGGCGGGAAAGCAAGUCAGAUGUGAAAACCAUGGGCUCAACCUGUGGCCUGCAUUUGACACUGUUUUUCUUGAGUACUGGAGAGGCAGACGGAAUGCCUAGUGUAGCGGUGAAAUGGGUAGAUAUUAGGAGGAACACCAGUGGCGAAGGCGGUCUGCUGGACAGCAACUGACGCUGAGGCGCGAAAGCGUGGGGAGCAAACAGGAUUAGAUACCCUGGUAGUC
Molecule: ribosomal RNA, 443 nt
Filed under: uncultured bacterium
Lineage: Bacteria
Description: partial 16S ribosomal RNA
Rfam family: Bacterial small subunit ribosomal RNA
Source: RNAcentral